CCUGCCGGACCUGACUGCUAUCGGAUUGAUACUAAGCCAUGCGAGUCUUUGUAGUAAUACAAGGCAGACGGCUCAGUAACACGUAGUCAACCUACCCUAUGGACAAGAAUAAUCUCGGGAAACUGGGCAUAAUUCUUGAUAGAUCAUAAUGCCUGGAAUGGUUUAUGGUUAAAAUGAUUCGUCGCCAUAGGAUGGGACUGCGGCCUAUCAGCUUGUUGGUGAGGUAAUGGCCCACCAAGGCGAUUACAGGUACGGGCUCUGAGAGGAGAAGCCCGGAGAUGGGUACUGAGACACGGACCCAGGCCCUAUGGGGCGCAGCAGGCGAGAAAACUUUGCAAUGUGCGAAAGCACGACAAGGUUAAUCCGAGUGAUUUCUGCUAAAGAAAUCUUUUGCCAGUCAUAAAACCACUGGUGAAUAAGGGGUGGGCAAGUUCUGGUGUCAGCCGCCGCGGUAAAACCAGCACCUCAAGUGGUCAGGAUGAUUAUUGGGCCUAAAGCAUCCGUAGCCUGCUCUGUAAGUUUUCGGUUAAAUCUGUAUGCUCAACAUACAGGCCGCCGGAAAUACUGCAGGGCUAGGGAGUGGGAGAGGUAGACGGUACUCGGGAGGAAGUGGUAAAAUGCUCUGAUCUUUCGAUGACCACCUGUGGCGAAGGCGGUCUACCAGAACACGUCCGACGGUGAGGGAUGAAAGCUGGGGGAGCAAACCGGAUUAGAUACCCGGGUAGUCCCAGCCGUAAACUAUGCAAACUCAGUGAUGCAUUGGCUUGUGGCCAAUGCAGUGUUGCAGGGAAGCCGUUAAGUCUGCCGCCUGGGAAGUACGUACGCAAGUAUGAAACUUAAAGGAAUUGGCGGGGGAGCACCACAAGGGGUGAAGCCUGCGGUCAAU
Molecule: ribosomal RNA, 886 nt
Filed under: uncultured marine group I thaumarchaeote
Lineage: Archaea; Thermoproteati; Nitrososphaerota
Description: SSU rRNA
Rfam family: Archaeal small subunit ribosomal RNA
Source: RNAcentral